Long non-coding RNA from Magnolia sinica, 422 nucleotides. RefSeq lists it as uncharacterized. The record is from RefSeq and is a predicted model, not a curated record. The transcript is spliced from 2 exons. Lineage: Eukaryota; Viridiplantae; Streptophyta; Magnoliopsida; Magnoliales; Magnoliaceae.
CACGACCUCUGCUGCGUUUCACCUGGAAGUGCAGCUCUCUCAAAGACGCCGAAUGCCACCGAAAAGGUUCAGAGAUGAGAAUGAUGCUUGCAACAGGAUUAAGCGCUCUUUCAGCAUUAUACUUGAAAGAAUUUUCUGGUCUUAGGAUUACCAGAAAUGCAUGAAUUGAGGAAGGCAUCCUGUUUGGAAUAGGGAAUGAAGCCAUUGGUCCGCUAGCAUAUAAAAUAUCUGUAUCAAAUAGACAAUCCCAAUAUGGAUUCAGCUAUUCUGAAAUUCUUUGGGUUUCAAUUGGAGUUUUGCAACUUCUUUGUUCGUCUGUCUGAUUCUUUUGUAUCUGUAUCUAUUUGUAUACUUGGAAGCCGGAAUUCCUGUAUACUUAUUUACCAAAGCUAACAUAUCCUGCCAUUCGUUUCUCUUCACCA